This 1040-nucleotide ribosomal RNA is filed under the name Botrylloides leachii. Its description in RNAcentral is "large ribosomal RNA". The stretch from base 677 to 990 matches the Rfam family "Archaeal large subunit ribosomal RNA", at positions 2151 to 2715 of the family's 2987-position model. Lineage: Eukaryota; Metazoa; Chordata; Ascidiacea; Stolidobranchia; Styelidae. The record is from RNAcentral.
CUUAAUUGGUUUAUUAUUGUUGAUAUGUGUUUAGGUAUUAGAGAAGUAAUUUGAUAGGAGGAAAAUUAAGGAUAUGAAGUUUAAGUUUUACCUUUUGUAUAAUGGUGUGGAGAAAAGGUCUUUAGUGAGUUAAGGAUCACUAAUUAAGGAGGUAAUGUUUUUAAGAGUAUAGAUGUUUCAGUAUCUUUAGGAAGAAAAGCAAGAUUGAUAUAAAAAUCGUUUCUUAGGAUAAAUUGGAGACAUAGGUAGAUUUAGGGAUAAGUUUAGGAAGUAAAGGGACAGCUUUUACUUCAAUAAGAGAAUACUAUAAAAUAAAAAAAAUUUUUUAUUUUGGUUGAUUUAUGUAUAAGAGAAUAUGUUUUGAGAAUUUUUCAAAAAGUAGGUUGAUUUUUCUUUAUUUAAGGUUGAAAGAUUUGAUAGGGUGAUAUAAGAAUUAGGAGAGGAAUUUAGCAAAUAUAUUUAAGAUUCAGUGAAGUAGUUUACUAAAAACUAAGUUGGCCGAUGUCUGAUGGUUGAUGGAGUCUGCUCAAUGUGUGUAAAUAAAUGGCGACCUAAGGUUUUAAUGUAGCGUAUUAAUUUGUCUAUUAAUUGUAGUCUAGUGAAGGGCUAAAAUUACUGAGGCUUUCUUUUUUAAUGUUUCUGAAAUUCCUUAAAGGUGAAAAUGCUUUUGUAGUAAUAAAAGAAAAAAAGACCCUAGGUAGUUAAAGUUUAUUAAUUUGUUGUACAUUAGGAAGCUUUUGCUGGGGCAGUGACAGUUUAUUAUUUAAUUUCUGUGUUUGAGAUUUAAUUGUAAAUUUUUUAAUUAAACUAACCCUAGGGGUAACAGCGCAAUCGACAGGGAGAGUUCAUAUUAAUCUGUCGGUUUACGACCUCGAUGUCGACUUAUGAUAACCCUAGGCGCAGUAGUUUAGGUCUUGUGUUUGUUCACCAUAUGGAAUUUUACGUGAGUUGGGUUAAGAACGGGGCAACUUAGUUUGGAUUUUUUCUUUAAGAAUAAAUUUUGUUAGUACGAAAGGAAGUUGAAAUUGAUAAGAAUUGUU